This 870-nucleotide ribosomal RNA is filed under the name Triticum aestivum (bread wheat). Its description in RNAcentral is "partial small subunit ribosomal RNA". Lineage: Eukaryota; Viridiplantae; Streptophyta; Magnoliopsida; Poales; Poaceae. The record is from RNAcentral.
AUGGCAUCGAGCACUGGGGAGGAAGCUCCUGCCUCACCCGUUGUGGGAAAUGCUCCUCCACUGGUGACCACGGAAGCCAAGAUGAUUGUGGCCAUCGGCCAUGACCAUUGCCAGAAGUUGAAGGAUGUGUUGAGCAAGGAGGAUUCUUCCACCAUGGUAGUGGUGAUGGCCUCAAGCAACCAGACUCCCACGCCGCCCAAGCCUCGCUUGCCGGUCAUGGAUUCCAGGCUGCUAGCAGUAGCUUGCUCUGGUUCAUGGAAGAAGCUGCAAUCAUUUCUCAGUGGGGAAGACCGUCAAACCUCCGGCGACGGGGCUAUCCGAAGCUCUGCUAUGCAGCCAGCUUUUGGUGACGAAGAAGCACUUCUCAGGGAGUCUUUCCUGGAUGCGGUCACCAUGGACGGUGACACUUUUCUCCAUGUGAUGGCCACCAACAGUGAUGGUGAGAACUUGGAGGAAGAUGGCCCCAUACGCAGGAAGGCAGUAAGCCUCGUCUUCAUGCAAAACAGCCAUGGAGAUACGCCCCUGCACUAUGCUGCACGGGCGGCGAAAAUGAAUAUGGUAUCUUUUCUCAUUGAUCUUGCUGGAGGCAAGGAUCAAAAUGCUGACAGAGUGAAGGCGCUGCUAGAAAUGGAAAACAAGAGUAAAUGGACAGUCUUGCAUUAGGCGGUCCGCAGUGGGAAAAAUGAUAUAGUCGAAUUGCUCAUGAAGGAGGAUCCAGAAUUGGCAAGUCUUCCGAAAGCUGGUACUUCUCCGCUGUACCUAGCCAUCUUACUGGAAAACAGAAUCAUCGCCAAAACACUCUACAAGUUUAACGACGAGAACCUUUCAUACUCUGGACCAAGUGGACAAAAUGCAUUGCAUGCUGCUGUU